GAUGAACGCUGGCGGCGUGCUUAACACAUGCAAGUCGAACGAUGAAGCCCAGCUUGCUGGGUGGAUUAGUGGCGAACGGGUGAGUAACACGUGAGUAACCUGCCCUUAACUCUGGGAUAAGCCUGGGAAACUGGGUCUAAUACCGGAUAGGAGCGUCCACCGCAUGGUGGGUGUUGGAAAGAUUUAUCGGUUUUGGAUGGACUCGCGGCCUAUCAGCUUGUUGGUGAGGUAAUGGCUCACCAAGGCGACGACGGGUAGCCGGCCUGAGAGGGUGACCGGCCACACCGGGAAUGAGACACGGCCCAGACUCCUACGGGAGGCAGCAGUGGGGAAUAUUGCACAAUGGGCGCAAGCCUGAUGCAGCGACGCCGCGUGAGGGAUGAAGGCCUUUCGGGUGUAAACCUCUUUCAGUAGGGAAGAAGCGAAAGUGACGGUACCUGCAGAAGGAGCACCGGCUAACUACGUG
This 466-nucleotide ribosomal RNA is filed under the name uncultured bacterium. RNAcentral describes it as "partial 16S ribosomal RNA". It matches the Rfam family "Bacterial small subunit ribosomal RNA", at positions 28 to 507 of the family's 1533-position model. The record is from RNAcentral.